RNAcentral lists this transfer RNA (77 nucleotides) under Candidatus Obscuribacterales bacterium. RNAcentral describes it as "tRNA-Thr". It matches the Rfam family "tRNA". From Rfam's summary of the family: Transfer RNA (tRNA) molecules are approximately 80 nucleotides in length. Lineage: Bacteria; Bacillati; Candidatus Melainabacteria; Candidatus Obscuribacterales. The record is from RNAcentral.
GCCCCUGUAGCUUAACGGUUAAAGCCUUCGCCUUGUAAGCGAAAGACCGACGGUUCAACUCCAGUCCAGGGGCUCCA